RNAcentral lists this transfer RNA (364 nucleotides) under uncultured Microcystis sp. Its description in RNAcentral is "partial 16S-23S ribosomal RNA intergenic spacer". The stretch from base 135 to 208 matches the Rfam family "tRNA". Lineage: Bacteria; Bacillati; Cyanobacteriota; Cyanophyceae; Chroococcales; Microcystaceae. The record is from RNAcentral.
AAAGGGAGACCUAAUUCAGGUAGGAGACGAAAAAAAGUAGUCCCUACCAAGAAUCAAUCCCAAAAGGUCGGAGCGAGGCGAAAUUGGCUUUCAAACUAGGUUCUGGGUUCAAACAAGACCUGAAUCAGGAACAAGGGCUAUUAGCUCAGGUGGUUAGAGCGCACCCCUGAUAAGGGUGAGGUCCCUGGUUCGAGUCCAGGAUGGCCCACCUGUACAGGUGGCAAAAAGAAAGAAAAGAAGCGAGGAAUCAGCACCUUAUCUUACUUAUAUAGUAAGAGAGAAUGCUGGCUCUGAGUUCAGAGUCCAGAGGAACCUUGAAAACUGCAUAGAGCUAGGUGAAAAAGCCAAAAAAGAAGACCGCAAG